GACCUGGCGGCGCAGUCUCGCGGGAUUCCUCAGCUCUCGCUCCCGGUGCGGCUCCUGAGGUGGCUAGAGUCCCGGACACUCCCGGGAGCCGUCUCUGGUCUCGGGGGUACGGUGGGCUGGACGGGGACGGGGAGGAAGGUGCCUUCGACCGCCGCCCGAGUAAUUGACCCAGAACUCAUUUUCAGGAAAAAGGGCUUCCUUCAAAAUGGUAAAAUAAUUAAACGAGGAAUUUGAGCAUUUUAUCUUUGGAUGGAAAUCUGAGAAUGAAAAGAGCGAUUAAUCCAAGCCAUGUGGUAAAAUUAGGAAUUUGAAGAGAAUGGAAACGUUUACAUUUUUGUGGACAUGUAUUUUUCUACCCCUCAUACGAGGGCACAGUCUUUUCACCUGUGAACCAAUUACUGUUCCCAGAUGUAUGAAAAUGGCCUACAACAUGACAUUUUUCCCUAAUCUGAUGGGUCAUUAUGACCAGAGUAUUGCGGCUGUGGAAAUGGAGCUUUUUCUUCCUCUUGCAAAUCUGGAAUGUUCACCAAAUGUUGAAACUUUCCUUUGCAAAGCUUUUGUACCAACCUGCACAGAGCAAAUUGAUGUGGUUCCACCCUGUCGUAAAUUUUGUGAGAAAGUGUAUUCUGACUGCAAAAAAUUAAUGGACACUUUUGGGAUCCGAUGGCCUGAGGAACUUGAAUGUGACAGAUUACAAUACUGUGACGAGUCUGUUCCUGUAACUUUUGAUCAACACACAGAGUUUCUCAGUCCUCACAAGAAAACAGAACAAGUCCAAAGAGACAUUGGAUUUUGGUGUCCAAGGCAUCUUAAGACUUCUGGGGGACAAGGCUAUAAGUUUCUGGGAAUUGACCAAUGUGCACCCCCAUGCCCCAACAUGUAUUUUAAAAGUGAUGAGCUAGAGUUUGCAAAAAGUUUUAUUGGAAUAGUUUCAAUAUUUUGUCUUUGUGCAACUCUGUUUACAUUCCUUACUUUUUUAAUUGAUGUUAGAAGGUUCAGAUACCCUGAGAGACCAAUUAUAUAUUACUCUGUCUGUUACAGCAUUGUAUCUCUUAUGUACUUCAUUGGAUUCUUGCUAGGCAAUAGCACAGCCUGCAAUAAGGCAGAUGAGAAACUAGAACUUGGUGACACAGUUGUUCUAGGCUCUCAAAAUAAGGCUUGCACCGUUUUGUUUAUGUUUUUGUAUUUUUUCACAAUGGCUGGCACUGUGUGGUGGGUGAUUCUUACCAUUACUUGGUUCUUAGCUGCUGGGAGAAAAUGGAGUUGUGAAGCCAUUGAACAGAAAGCAGUGUGGUUUCAUGCUGUUGCAUGGGGAAUACCAGGUUUUCUGACCGUUAUGCUUCUUGCUAUGAACAAAGUUGAAGGAGACAAUAUUAGUGGAGUUUGCUUUGUCGGCCUUUAUGACCUGGAUGCCUCUCGCUACUUUGUACUCUUGCCACUGUGCCUUUGUGUGUUUGUCGGGCUCUCUCUUCUUUUAGCUGGCAUUAUUUCCUUAAAUCAUGUUCGACAAGUUAUACAACAUGAUGGCCGGAACCAAGAGAAACUAAAGAAAUUUAUGAUUCGAAUUGGAGUCUUCAGUGGCCUGUAUCUUGUGCCAUUAGUGACACUUCUUGGAUGUUACGUCUAUGAGCAAGUGAACAGGAUAACCUGGGAGAUAACUUGGGUCUCUGACCAUUGUCGUCAGUACCACAUCCCAUGUCCUUACCAGGCCAAAACAGAAACUCGACCAGAGUUGGCUUUAUUUAUGAUAAAAUAUCUGAUGACAUUAAUUGUUGGCAUCUCUGCUGUCUUCUGGGUUGGAAGCAAAAAGACAUGCACAGAAUGGGCUGGGUUUUUUAAACGAAGUCGCAAGAAAGAUCCAAUCAGUGAAAGUCGAAGAGUACUACAGGAGUCGUGUGAGUUUUUCUUAAAGCACAAUUCUAAAGUUAAACACAAAAAGAAGCACUACAAACCAAGUUCACAUAAGCUGAAGGUCAUUUCCAAAUCCAUGGGAACCAGCACAGGAGCUACAGCAAAUCAUGGCACUUCUGCAGUAGCAAUCACUAACCAUGAUUACUUAGGACAGGAAACUUUGACAGAAAUACAAACCUCACCAGAAACAUCACCAGUGAGAGAGGUGAGAGCGGAUGGAGCGAGCACCUCCAAAUUACGAGAACAGGACUGUGAGGAACCUGCCUCCCCAGCAGCAUCCAGCUCCAAACUCUGCGGGGAGCAGACCGACGGGAAAGGCCGGGCAGCCAAUGUGAAUGAUAAGAGCAGUGUGUCUGAAAGUGCACGGAGUGAAGGAAGUGUGAACCAAAGCAAAACUGUCUAGUUGUGAGUUUAUUUCCUUGGGGGCCUAUUCUAGGAGCUAAUUAGUUUCACGGUCAGGAAAUAUAUGAAUCUGAAUAUAUAGACUCCAGACUUUAUCUGGGAAAAGUCACCAGCAGAGUACAAGCUCCCUAGUGGUUUCAGUCCUUCUGAAUGGCCGGUCCAGUGCCCCCAUGAAAACUUUCAUAAAACAGGAACCUCCAGAGCCUGUAAACCAAGCUGACCACUGGCAAAACCCCUUGCUGGCAUUUUCAGCCUCUUAGCUGCCACCUCUGUUAGUUCAGAGUCCAAGUGAAAAAGAAUAACACACUGUGUUUCUAGAGCUGACCUAGUUGGCAGGCUGUGUGCAAAUAAAAAGUACAGUAAAACAAAACAGGAGGACUGUGUUUCCCCAACUGAGUCAUCACUGCCUCUUUGUCACUGUUCUGAGACUCCAGGUAGGGCUUUCCAGGCUGGCCCUGCAGACACUGAGAGAUCCAAAGGUUUUCUUUAUGAAAGCAAAAACCAAGAGAGGGGCGUGCAGCACAUCCAAAACUGGGGUGUUACCGACCAGGGUUCUCAGUGUCCUUAAUCAAUAGAAAUUGCUAAGAGGCCAGAUGAGAAAUUCAGGCAAGGCUUUACUGAGACUCACGCUGCAGUAUGAGCGAGGGAAAACCAGUAACAGGUGCCCUUGCUUGCCCCCCGAGGUGGGGUGGGCUGGUCCCUUAAUUGGGGGGGGAUGGGGGAAGACUGGCGGGUCAGGCCAGAGGGGCGGCUUAGGUGGUCUGCCCGCCCCUGGGUGGUGCCGUGUGCAGGGAUCCUGCGCAGCCCCUGCUUUUGCUCCUGGCACCUCGUGAGUGGAAGCUGGGUUUUGGUCGUUUUGUACCUUACUGUUCAUAAUUUGCCCUAACUGUGCAGGUAUGCAAUUAUUUUCAGUCCCUUAGAGCAGGGCUCCCCAACCCCCGGGCCGUGGACUGGUACCGGUCUGCAGCCUGUUAGGAACCGGGCCGCACAGCAGGAGGUGAGCGGUGAGUGAGCGAAGCUUCAUCCGGGGCUCCCCAUCGCUCCCCAUCGCUCUCAUUACCACCUGAACCAUCCCCCACCACUGCCCCUGUGGAAGAAUUGUCUUCCGCAAAACUGGUCCCUGGUGCCAAAAUUGUUGGGGACCCCUGCCUUCUAGUUUCUUUGUAUUCCGUGGCUCAAAGAGACGUUUCUCCAAGUGCAAGCACUUCAGCAAAGGGUCCCAGGUCUUAGCCUGUCUCAGGGACAGGGUGCCUUGGGGACUUUGGAGGCAGGGCAGAGUCUGGAUACCCUGGACGCCCUGAAGAGACCAAAGACAGUAUAAGAUGAUGUCCCUUCCAUUCAGCAAGCAUAGAGCGUGACGGAAGGGGCUGACUUCACACAAGCAAGAGGUAAGAACCUCUAAAGAAUUAGCAUGAAAUCUAAAGGCACUGACAUGGAAGCCUUCCAAAAUAUUGCUCAGCACAAAAAAGCAAGUGACAAAACUAUACUUACAGGGUAACAGCACAUAUGUGAACAACCCCCAGGCUGCAGAAUAAUGCUGCAUGUUUUCUCUAGUUACAUAAGCAGGGACUCUGGAAAAUGUGGUAACGUGGGUUAUCUCUGUGGAGGGGACCAGCAUCAUAGGUGAUGAUCAAAGCGGACUUUAGCCUGAUCUGUAAUGUUUAAAUGUUUAUAAGGAAGAUCUAUUAAUAUAUCACAUGGUAUAAUUAAGAAUUAAUUUUUUAAUAGAAGAUCUACUAAGCACAUGUCUAGCUAAUGGCGACACAGUGGGUCCACCCACAUCUGGCUUCAAGGGUCCUUGCAUCACUGAUGUGCACACCUACAGGCCAGGGAGGGGCAGCAGCCCACACCAGUGAGAUCUGGAAAGGCCACCAGCUCAUCCAGUUCAAACUCCCUUUGCUUUCUCCCUCCUGUGCUUCUCUCUGCCCCUGAAACAACCUUUAGGUGGCAAUCAGCAUAUGGGCUUUGAGAAUGUCCCUUCCCCAGACUCUACUCCCAUCCCCACAAAUAAAGCUUAGGCCUGCUGACUUGAUCCAGCACUGGGAGACAGAGGACCAGAGGACCAGCCCCACAGAGUGUGAUACGGGGGGGACACGAGGAAAGGAAGAGAGGCUGCAGUAGGCUGAAUUCAGCUGAACACACAAUGGCAAAUCCUUUCUAUCCACCACCCCUCCACCCUCCCACCCCCCUACACACAGACCACCACCACAAGUGCUCCAGCAGUAGGUAAUUCAACAUACAACUUGUUUCUGUGUUCAUGAAUUUCAGGUUGAGAAGCUGGUCAAAAGUGAAUGCUAGAGUCUGGGAUCUGAAAGUCAGGGAGAGUCUAAGGCGUUUGUGGCUUUCUGAAGAAGGCAGACCCCUGCUUUUCUCUAGCGACUCCCCCCGUGUAGUCACCCACCCCUUAGAGCCAUGCAGUUGGCCCAGGCUCCUGAGUCCUGGGCUGAGCGAUUGGGGCCCACGGAUCUGAGAAAGAAGUUGGCUGUUUAUGGCUGGCUCUGUCCUAGCAGCCUGGCUAGGUCCUCUUGGGACCACCUAGUUUUGCUCAACCGUUCCCAGCUGGCUUAGUAGUUCCAAAUUUAGGCUGGACUGUGAAGGGAAUAAGUUUCUUGUCUGUACCUUCCUGCUGCCUAAACUGCUAAGGGAUUAGGUCUUGAUUUUAGCAAUUGACAUGGUCUUUUCCCUCCAGACCAGGUGAGUCAACUUCUCCUCUUAACAUGUUUGCCAGGAGCAAAAAUAACCUGCUUAACCACCUGACGCUUAAAACAAAGAUUCACUAAAUGUGCCAAUAGGAGUACUAUAUAUAUCAGCCAAAGACAAGGCCCAGCUGUGGGCCAUGAGAGCCUCCCACUGCUGGGUCUGCCGUUCAGCUCCAGAAACAAGCCAGGAAGAAAAGCAAUGAAUGAGAGUUCCUGUUGCUCCACGUUCGGUGUUGUCAGUGUUCUGGAUUUUGACCAUUCUAAUAGGUAUGUAGUGGUACCUUACUGUUGUUUUAAUUUGCAAUUCUCUGAUGACAUAUGAUGUGAAUAUCUCUUCAUACACUCAUUUGUUAUCUAUAAAUCUUCUUUACUGAGGUA
Molecule: RNA transcript, 5390 nt
Organism: Orcinus orca (killer whale)
Lineage: Eukaryota; Metazoa; Chordata; Mammalia; Artiodactyla; Delphinidae
Gene: FZD6
Gene name: frizzled class receptor 6
Exons: 8
Source: RefSeq, a predicted model, not a curated record